ACCGGUUAGCAUUCGGGUCGGGCCCAAAGUCCUAAUUCUGAAAUCCGAAACCCCGCCAAGGACUUUAUAAUAAAUUCAAACAUCUUCUUUUCCCGGCAAACCUCGCUGUAAUUUGAGAAGAAAACGAUCGUUCCACAUUGUCUUCCAUCUUGCACAGUCGAUCUAGAGGUGAAAUUCUCUAUCAUCUCUCUCUCGACAGAAACCGCAAAUACCGGAACGUUAAAUGCAUUUCCAAAGAAUUAUUUAUAUUUCUCAGCAAAGACAGCGGAUUUCAAAAUUCUAAGAAUAUAGUUCAGAUCGGUGUAGCGAUUGAAUUGUGGGGAAACUGCCGUUCCGUCUUCUGGUAAGAUUUUUCUUUAUUUUAUUUUUUUGAAGAUUUAAUACAUGGAUGCUCCCAUUCAAGGAAUGGAAACUGUGGAAACAACUAUUACCAUGGCUUGAUGCAGUUUUGUAGGUGGGAUGUCAAGCUCUAAGACGCAUUUGGUGUGUGUUGAAAAUUUGAGGGAAGAAAAUAGGACCUUGCCAAGAAGUUUAAAACAGUUGCAGGGAAUCAUCAGUGGAUUGAAGAUUGCGUAAAGCAAGGGAAGCGUGUACCUGAGCAACCUUACACGUUGCAAAGGUGCAUAUGCUGCAUUUGUUAUAAAUCUGUUGUGUAUAUUAAACUGCUAGGCAUAAUUUCUGAAAGGUAUAUUAAACCUUACCCUAUUUAAUAUAUAUGCUUCUGAAAGGUAAAAAAGGAUGUUAUUUAAAAUAAUGGCUGGUAUUGGCGGUAAGAGUGCUUGUGCAAUCUUUUGUUAAAUUUUGAAGAAUAAUUAUCAAAGAUCAAUCGCUUUAGCAAUUAUGAGUUUAGAUGUUUUUUACUUUAAUAGGUGCUCUUAAAGUAAGAGGUUUGUAAGAAGUUUGUUGUGCUGCUAUCCUAAUAAUUGCAAACUCGUGCCCAAACGAAGUUUCUAUAUAGGAUCAUUAAUAAAAGCAUCCCUUUACUUCUUGCAAUUUGCAGUUGGAUAGAUGUUUAUUUACUCUUUCAUUCAACGCUGUGAACUUCUAAUUAUGGAUCUCAAUGGAAAAAAGUUACAUUGCCAAGUUCUUUUCUUCACCCCACACUUCAUCAUUCAUUCUGUGAAAUUAUUUGAUAGAUUCUCCCUUUUCCUCUGCUCAUAUGAGUUAUAAUCUGCAAACCUGUACUUCCUUUUCAUAUUGAUUAUAAAUUCCAAUUUGCUGGGAUUUGCCUUCUUGUAAAAGAGAUAGAGCGUAGGACUGUUCUAUGAACAAUUCCUUGAUGGAUUCCGAACCUUUUAUGUUUAGUGGUGCUUAAAACCAGAGUAUAACUUAUUCUAACAUUUUGUUCGGUCUAGUUAGACGAUAGACAAAGCUACCAUACUAAAACAUGACCGAGUAGAAAUCAUAAAAUAAAAAUGCUACUACAAGAAGCUUACAAACCUUUCAACUUCUUGUAGAGAUGAUAAUUAGCCUUUACAAAAGAUGAAAGAUUGCCCCUUUGAUUUU
Long non-coding RNA from Manihot esculenta (cassava), 1506 nucleotides. RefSeq lists it as uncharacterized. The transcript is spliced from 3 exons. Lineage: Eukaryota; Viridiplantae; Streptophyta; Magnoliopsida; Malpighiales; Euphorbiaceae. The record is from RefSeq and is a predicted model, not a curated record.